RNAcentral lists this ribosomal RNA (480 nucleotides) under uncultured Flavobacterium sp. RNAcentral's name for it is "partial 16S ribosomal RNA". Lineage: Bacteria; Pseudomonadati; Bacteroidota; Flavobacteriia; Flavobacteriales; Flavobacteriaceae. The record is from RNAcentral.
CACGGAGUUAGCCGAUCCUUAUUCUUACGAUACCGUCAAGCUCCUAUACAUAGGAGUGUUUCUUCUCGUACAAAAGCAGUUUGCAAUCCAUAGGACCGUCAUCCUGCACGCGGCAUGGCUGGAUCAGGCUUGCGCCCAUUGUCCAAUAUUCCUCACUGCUGCCUCCCGUAGGAGUCUGGUCCGUGUCUCAGUACCAGUGUGGGGGAUCUCCCUCUCACGGACCCCUACCCAUCGUUGCCUUGGUAAGCCGUUACCUUACCAACUAGCUAAUGGGACGCAUGCUCAUCUUUCACCGUUGUGACUUUAAUAAUUAAACCAUGCGGUCCGAUUAUACUAUGAGGUAUUAAUCCAAAUUUCUCUGGCUAUCCCUCUGUGAAGGCAGAUUGCAUACGCGUUACGCACCCGUGCCGCCGGUCUCUAUCUACCGAAGAAUACUACCCCUCGACUUGCAGUGUAGUUAACGCCUCGCCGCUAGUCGUU